AUACUUACCUGGCAGGGGAGAUACCAUGAUCACGAAGGUGGUUUUCCCAGGAUGAGGCUUAUCCACUGCACUCUGGAUGUGUUGACCCCUGAGAUUUCCCCAUGUGUGGGAAACUCGACUGCAUAAUUUGGGGGGGGGGGGGGGGGCAGGGAGGACGGAUUUCUA
RNAcentral lists this small nuclear RNA (165 nucleotides) under Myotis davidii. RNAcentral's name for it is "U1 spliceosomal RNA". It matches the Rfam family "U1 spliceosomal RNA". From Rfam's summary of the family: U1 is a small nuclear RNA (snRNA) component of the spliceosome (involved in pre-mRNA splicing). Its 5' end forms complementary base pairs with the 5' splice junction, thus defining the 5' donor site of an intron. There are significant differences in sequence and secondary structure between metazoan and yeast U1 snRNAs, the latter being much longer (568 nucleotides as compared to 164 nucleotides in human). The record is from Rfam by way of RNAcentral. Lineage: Eukaryota; Metazoa; Chordata; Mammalia; Chiroptera; Vespertilionidae.